This 89-nucleotide small nuclear RNA is filed under the name Nelumbo nucifera (sacred lotus). The record is from RNAcentral. Lineage: Eukaryota; Viridiplantae; Streptophyta; Magnoliopsida; Proteales; Nelumbonaceae.
GGCACAACAGCCAACGAUAAAAAAUGGAGCAAUACAGAGAAGAUUAGCAUGACCCUUGUGCAAGGAUUACAGACAUCCACAAAAUCAUU